Molecule: ribosomal RNA, 212 nt
Filed under: uncultured bacterium
Lineage: Bacteria
Description: partial 16S ribosomal RNA
Rfam family: Bacterial small subunit ribosomal RNA
Source: RNAcentral
UAAUACAUGGGGUGCAAACGUUGCUCGGAAUUAUUGGGCGUAAAGCGCGCGUAGGCGGUUAUCUAAGUCGGAUGUGAAAGCCCUCGGCUUAACUGAGGAAGUGCACCCGAAACUGGAUAGCUAGAGUACGAAAGAGGGUCGCGGAAUUCCCGGUGUAGAGGUGAAAUUCGUAGAUAUCGGGAGGAACACCGGUGGCGAAGGCGGCGACCUGG